RNAcentral lists this long non-coding RNA (585 nucleotides) under Lonchura striata (white-rumped munia). Its description in RNAcentral is "domestica (Bengalese finch) lncRNA (ENSLSDG00000003966.1)". The record is from RNAcentral. Lineage: Eukaryota; Metazoa; Chordata; Aves; Passeriformes; Estrildidae.
CAUGGCACAUCCUUUGUCCCUUUACCCUGGGAAAGAAAACUCACCAGUCCAGGUUCCUGUUGUCUGUUUUAGGGCUACCUUCGGACUGUCUGGGCAGCACAAGUCUGAUAUGGGGACAGCUUCGGUCCGGGGUCCAUUCUUCGAUAUAUUGACUUUUUGCAGUGAGGUCCCAGCCCAGGGCCAGGGCCCCUGGGCACAUACUUUGGUCAUUUUCCCUUGGAAAGAAAACUCACCAGUCCAGUUUCCUGAUGUCAGUUUGUAGGGCUUCCUUGGGUCUAUCAGCGCAGUACAAGUUUGAGGUGGGGAAAAUUUCGGUUGGGGGUCGAUCGUUUGAUAUAUGGAGUUUUUGCAUUCAGGCCCCAGCCCAGUGGCCAGGGGCCCCUGGGCACAUCCUUUGGCCAUUUUCCCUGGGAAAGAAAAUUCACCAGUCCAGUUUCCUGAUGUCAGUUUAUAGGGAUCCCAUGGAUCUAUCAGGGCAGCACAAGUUUGAGGUGGGGACAACUUCAGUCUGGGGUCCAUCCUUCUAUAUAACUAUUUUUUGCAUUCAGGGCCCAUCCCAGGGCCAGGGGCCCAUGGGCACAUAUU